RNAcentral lists this ribosomal RNA (253 nucleotides) under uncultured bacterium. Its description in RNAcentral is "partial 16S ribosomal RNA". It matches the Rfam family "Bacterial small subunit ribosomal RNA", at positions 524 to 776 of the family's 1533-position model. The record is from RNAcentral.
UACGAAGGGUGCUAGCGUUGUUCGGAAUUACUGGGCGUAAAGCGCGCGUAGGCGGACUGACAAGUCAGGGGUGAAAUCCCGGGGCUCAACCCCGGAAUUGCCUUUGAAACUGUCAGUCUGGAGUUCGAGAGGGGAUAGCGGAAUUCCUAAUGUAGAGGUGAAAUUCGUAGAUAUUAGGAGGAACACCGGUGGCGAAGGCGGCUAUCUGGCUCGAUACUGACGCUCUGGCGCGAAAGCGUGGGGAUCAAACAGG